RNAcentral lists this long non-coding RNA (336 nucleotides) under Amborella trichopoda. RNAcentral's name for it is "long non-coding RNA (ATRI_LNC004103)". The record is from RNAcentral. Lineage: Eukaryota; Viridiplantae; Streptophyta; Magnoliopsida; Amborellales; Amborellaceae.
GAUACUUUACAUAUAUGAUGCUGCUGCAUUCUGAUGUUAAAAGAGUUUCAAAGAUAAUUUAAGUAUAAGGGGAUCCAUCUAGGACGCUGGUGGGGUAUUUGGAUUCAUCCGGUACGUCAGUGAGGUAUGAUUGGAACUGCAGGGAUUAUUUGGACCCAUCCAUGACGUUAGUUGGGUAUUUAGACUCAUUUGGGACGCCGAUGAUGUAUGAUCGGAUCCACAGGGAUUGUUUGGACCUAUUCGGUUAUGCCGGUAGGGAUUAUUUGGACUCAUCCGAUAUGUCGGUGCGGUAUGAUUGGACAUGCAGGGAUUAUUUGGACCCAUCCAGGAUGCUAG